GAGUCCAGACCGAGACCCAGAGAAAUGUAAACAAACGCACCAGUCAGACUUGAUAUAGGAGUGAAUUUGUUGCUUUUUAAAGCGGCAGUCGGUCUGUACAUGUGUGAGGUGGCGAGGGGUGUCGCCAGGGGGCGGCUAGUAGCGUCUGCCACCAGGGAAAUAUGUAAAAACAUAAAAAAGACGCUUCUCAAGAAAGAGAGGGGCAGUCGGUCUGUACAUGCGUGAGGUGGCGAGAGGCGUGUCCAGGGGGCGGCUAGUAGCGUGUGCCACCGUGGAAAUAUGUACAGACAUAAAGAAGACGCCCUCAAGAAAGGCCUGAGUCCAGACCGAGACCCAGAGAAAUGUAAACAAACGCACCAGUCAGACUUGAUAUAGGAGUGAAUUUGUUGCUUUUUAAAGCGGCAGUCGGUCUGUACAUGUGUGAGGUGGCGAGGGGUGUCGCCAGGGGGCGGCUAGUAGCGUCUGCCACCAGGGAAAUAUGUAAAAACAUAAAAAAGACGCUUCUCAAGAAAGAGAGGGGCAGUCGGUCUGUACAUGCGUGAGGUGGCGAGAGGCGUGUCCAGGGGGCGGCUAGUAGCGUGUGCCACCGUGGAAAUAUGUACAGACAUAAAGAAGACGCCCUCAAGAAAGGCCUGAGUCCAGACCGAGACCCAGAGAAAUGUAAACAAACGCACCAGUCAGACUUGAUAUAGGAGUGAAUUUGUUGCUUUUUAAAGCGGCAGUCGGUCUGUACAUGUGUGAGGUGGCGAGGGGUGUCGCCAGGGGGCGGCUAGUAGCGUCUGCCACCAGGGAAAUAUGUAAAAACAUAAAAAAGACGCUUCUCAAGAAAGAGAGGGGCAGUCGGUCUGUACAUGCGUGAGGUGGCGAGAGGCGUGUCCAGGGGGCGGCUAGUAGCGUGUGCCACCGUGGAAAUAUGUACAGACAUAAAGAAGACGCCCUCAAGAAAGGCCUGAGUCCAGACCGAGACCCAGAGAAAUGUAAACAAACGCACCAGUCAGACUUGAUAUAGGAGUGAAUUUGUUGCUUUUUAAAGCGGCAGUCGGUCUGUACAUGUGUGAGGUGGCGAGGGGUGUCGCCAGGGGGCGGCUAGUAGCGUCUGCCACCAGGGAAAUAUGUAAAAACAUAAAAAAGACGCUUCUCAAGAAAGAGAGGGGCAGUCGGUCUGUACAUGCGUGAGGUGGCGAGAGGCGUGUCCAGGGGGCGGCUAGUAGCGUGUGCCACCGUGGAAAUAUGUACAGACAUAAAGAAGACGCCCUCAAGAAAGGCCUGAGUCCAGACCGAGACCCAGAGAAAUGUAAACAAACGCACCAGUCAGACUUGAUAUAGGAGUGAAUUUGUUGCUUUUUAAAGCGGCAGUCGGUCUGUACAUGUGUGAGGUGGCGAGGGGUGUCG
Molecule: long non-coding RNA, 1392 nt
Organism: Scylla paramamosain (green mud crab)
Lineage: Eukaryota; Metazoa; Arthropoda; Malacostraca; Decapoda; Portunidae
Exons: 9
Source: RefSeq, a predicted model, not a curated record